This 607-nucleotide ribosomal RNA is filed under the name Filobasidium magnum. RNAcentral describes it as "eukaryotic LSU rRNA". It matches the Rfam family "Eukaryotic large subunit ribosomal RNA", at positions 56 to 649 of the family's 3401-position model. Lineage: Eukaryota; Fungi; Basidiomycota; Tremellomycetes; Filobasidiales; Filobasidiaceae. The record is from RNAcentral.
GAAAAGAAACUAACAAGGAUUCCCCUAGUAACGGCGAGUGAAGCGGGAAGAGCUCAAAUUUGAAAUCUGGUGGCCUCAGGUCAUCCGAGUUGUAAUCUAUAGAAGUGUUUUCCGUGCUGGCUCAUGUACAAGUCCCUUGGAACAGGGCGUCAUAGAGGGUGAGAAUCCCGUCCUUGACAUGAACUACCAGUGCUCUGUGAUACAUUUUCAACGAGUCGAGUUGUUUGGGAAUGCAGCUCAAAAUGGGUGGUAAAUUCCAUCUAAAGCUAAAUAUUGGCGAGAGACCGAUAGCGAACAAGUACCGUGAGGGAAAGAUGAAAAGCACUUUGGAAAGAGAGUUAAACAGUAUGUGAAAUUGUUGAAAGGGAAACGAUUGAAGUCAGUCGUGCUCUUUGGAUUCAGCCGGUUCUGCCGGUGUACUUCCUUUGAGUGGGGUCAACAUCAGUUUUGAUCGCUGGAUAAAGGCUGGAGGAACGUAGUACCCUCGGGUAAACUUAUAGCCUCCUGUCACAUACAGUGGUUGGGACUGAGGAACGCAGCACGCCUUUAUGGCCGGGAUUCGUCCACGUACGUGCUUAGGAUGUUGACAUAAUGGCUUUAAACGACC